GUUGUAUGGUUAAGUGACUAAGCGUACACGGUGGAUGCCUUGGCAGUCAGAGGCGAUGAAAGGCGUAUUAACUUGCGAUAAGCUCAGAUUAGGUAGUAAAAACCUGUGAGUCUGAGAUUCCUGAAUGGGGAAACCCAGCACCAUAAGGUGUUAUCACUAACUGAAUACAUAGGUUAGUGAGGCGAACCGGGGGAACUGAAACAUCUAAGUACCCCGAGGAAAAGAAAUCAACCGAGAUUCCGAAAGUAGCGGCGAGCGAAAUUGGAUUAGCCCUUAAGCUUUUAGUGAGACAGGUGAAGCCUCUGGAAAGUGGCGCGAUACAGGGUGAUAGCCCCGUAACCGACAUCUCAUCAUCAGUGAAAUCGAGUAGGGCGGGACACGUGAUAUCCUGUCUGAAUAUGGGGGGACCAUCCUCCAAGGCUAAAUACUACUGACUGACCGAUAGUGAACCAGUACCGUGAGGGAAAGGCGAAAAGAACCCCUGUGAGGGGAGUGAAAUAGAACCUGAAACCGUGUACGUACAAGCAGUAGGAGCACCUUCGUGGUGUGACUGCGUACCUUUUGUAUAAUGGGUCAGCGACUUAUAUUCAGUAGCAAGGUUAACCAUCUAGGGGAGCCGUAGAGAAAUCGAGUCUUAACUGGGCGUCGAGUUGCUGGAUAUAGACCCGAAACCAGGUGAUCUAGCCAUGGGCAGGUUGAAGGUUGAGUAACAUCAACUGGAGGACCGAACCGACUAAUGUUGAAAAAUUAGCGGAUGACUUGUGGCUAGGGGUGAAAGGCCAAUCAAACCUGGAGAUAGCUGGUUCUCCCCGAAAUCUAUUUAGGUAGAGCCUCGGACGAAUACCACUGGGGGUAGAGCACUGUUAAGGCUAGGGGGUCAUCCCGACUUACCAACCCUUUGCAAACUCCGAAUACCAGUGAGUACUAUCCGGGAGACACACGGCGGGUGCUAACGUCCGUCGUGGAGAGGGAAACAACCCAGACCGCCAGCUAAGGUCCCAAAGUAUAGCUAAGUGGGAAACGAUGUGGGAAGGCUUAGACAGCUAGGAUGUUGGCUUAGAAGCAGCCAUCAUUUAAAGAAAGCGUAAUAGCUCACUAGUCGAGUCGGCCUGCGCGGAAGAUGUAACGGGGCUAAGCUAUACACCGAAGCUGCGGCAAUGACUUAGGUCAUUGGGUAGGGGAGCGUUCUGUAAGCCGUUGAAGGUGGACUGUAAGGUCUGCUGGAGGUAUCAGAAGUGCGAAUGCUGACAUGAGUAACGAUAAAGGGGGUGAAAAACCUCCUCGCCGGAAGACCAAGGGUUCCUGUCCAACGUUAAUCGGGGCAGGGUAAGUCGACCCCUAAGGCGAGGCCGAAAGGCGUAGUCGAUGGGAAACGGGUUAAUAUUCCCGUACUUCUUACAAUUGCGAUGGGGGGACGGAGAAGGCUAGGUGGGCCUGGCGACGGUUGUCCAGGUUCAAGUGCGUAGGCUUAAGAGUUAGGUAAAUCCGGCUCUUUUUAAGGCUGAGACACGACGUCGAGCUACUACGGUAGUGAAGUCAUUGAUGCCAUGCUUCCAGGAAAAGCCUCUAAGCUUCAGAUUGUAAGGAAUCGUACCCCAAACCGACACAGGUGGUCGGGUAGAGAAUACCAAGGCGCUUGAGAGAACUCGGGUGAAGGAACUAGGCAAAAUGGUACCGUAACUUCGGGAGAAGGUACGCUCCUCGCGGUGAAGUCCCUUGCGGAUGGAGCUAUGGGGAGUCGCAGAUACCAGGUGGCUGCAACUGUUUAUUAAAAACACAGCACUGUGCAAAAUCGUAAGAUGACGUAUACGGUGUGACGCCUGCCCGGUGCCGGAAGGUUAAUUGAUGGGGUUAGACUUAGGUCGAAGCUCUUGAUCGAAGCCCCGGUAAACGGCGGCCGUAACUAUAACGGUCCUAAGGUAGCGAAAUUCCUUGUCGGGUAAGUUCCGACCUGCACGAAUGGCGUAAUGAUGGCCACGCUGUCUCCACCCGAGACUCAGUGAAAUUGAAAUCGCUGUGAAGAUGCAGUGUACCCGCGGCUAGACGGAAAGACCCCGUGAACCUUUACUACAGCUUGGCACUGAACAUUGAGCCUACAUGUGUAGGAUAGGUGGGAGGCUUUGAAGCGAGUACGCCAGUAUUCGUGGAGCCAUCCUUGAAAUACCACCCUUGUAUGUUUGAUGUUCUAACUUAGCCCCAUUAUCUGGGGUGAGGACAGUGCCUGGUGGGUAGUUUGACUGGGGCGGUCUCCUCCCAAAGAGUAACGGAGGAGCACGAAGGUGGGCUAAUCACGGUUGGACAUCGUGAGGUUAGUGCAAUGGCAUAAGCCCGCUUGACUGCGAGAAUGACAAUUCGAGCAGGUGCGAAAGCAGGUCAUAGUGAUCCGGUGGUUCUGUAUGGAAGGGCCAUCGCUCAACGGAUAAAAGGUACUCCGGGGAUAACAGGCUGAUACCGCCCAAGAGUUCAUAUCGACGGCGGUGUUUGGCACCUCGAUGUCGGCUCAUCACAUCCUGGGGCUGAAGUCGGUCCCAAGGGUAUGGCUGUUCGCCAUUUAAAGUGGUACGCGAGCUGGGUUUAGAACGUCGUGAGACAGUUCGGUCCCUAUCUGCCGUGGGCGUUGGAAGAUUGAAGGGGGCUGCUCCUAGUACGAGAGGACCGGAGUGGACGAACCUCUGGUGUUCGGGUUGUGUCGCCAGACGCAUUGCCCGGUAGCUAAGUUCGGAAUCGAUAACCGCUGAAAGCAUCUAAGCGGGAAGCGAGCCCUGAGAUGAGUCUUCCCUGGCACUUUAAGUGUCCUAAAGGGUUGUUCGAGACUAGAACGUUGAUAGGCAGGGUGUGUAAGCGUUGUGAGGCGUUGAGCUAACCUGUACUAAUUGCCCGUGAGGCUUAACCAUACAACACCCAAGGGGUUU
RNAcentral lists this ribosomal RNA (2912 nucleotides) under Vibrio astriarenae. Its description in RNAcentral is "23S ribosomal RNA". It matches the Rfam family "Bacterial large subunit ribosomal RNA". Lineage: Bacteria; Pseudomonadati; Pseudomonadota; Gammaproteobacteria; Vibrionales; Vibrionaceae. The record is from RNAcentral.